AACAGGCAUGUUUCACCAGCUGCUCAAGCUCAUUCAGAAGGAGAGGGGAGACCAAGGAGAGACCAGACCGAGGCAGAAGAAAGCUGGCCUUCUGUCUUGGUUUAUUCGGAAGGCAUCAUCAGAAAAUUUCAUCAGUAACCAUGAAAAAGCGUAUAAAGAAAUUGGAGGAACUAAAAUCUGAAAUCCAGAAGUGUAAAUUCGAGCGGGAUGAACUUUCUCGAAUCCUGGACCUUUAUGUCAAUGAUGGUUUGAACUACAGUCUCCUCCCGCCUGGUUCCCUCACAGCCUUCGCAGUCCAAUGUGUCUAUAAGAAAACAGGCUAAAGAUGUCACCUUAAUUCUCCUUUGACUUGUCUCUGUUCCUGGAGUCAUUGCGUCCACCGACCCAGACGCCCAUCGCCGAUCGAGAGUAUUCCACGCAGGGAUCGAGUUCCAGCAAGAGAAGGAUCUUCAGUCACAGAGCACAUUGUGGAACUUUCCUGACAUGCUGGACAGAACUAAGAGGAUGAAUCAACAUCUGGACAUGAGACCUGGAGUUGUAUCUUAAGGUACAACAAUUUUCACCUUCCUGAAGAACCAUCAUACUGAUCUCCGAAGUUGCUGUAGAAGUUUGCCUUUCCACCAGGAGAGUAUGAAUGUUCCCCUUGCUCCAUAACCCAGUCAGCUUGAGUUGUCACAUGUGUUAUUAACCUUAGUCAUACUGACAAGUGUGAAAAGUGAUCUCAGAGUAAUUUUGAUUUGCAUUUGUG
This 748-nucleotide long non-coding RNA is filed under the name Rattus norvegicus (Norway rat). RNAcentral describes it as "long non-coding RNA NONRATT010740". The record is from RNAcentral. Lineage: Eukaryota; Metazoa; Chordata; Mammalia; Rodentia; Muridae.